AUGGAGUAGUUAAACUUGGAGGAUGAAGUCUUUGAUGAUCUGGUGAUUGACGAGAAUGAUCCUGAGAUCAAUGAGAGCGUCAGGUGGCUAGCCCUUGCUAGGGUUCACACGGACAAAACCUUCAGCUCGCCAGCCUUCUACAAGGAUAUGCGGGCGACAUGGAAUCCUGCCCAACAAGUAAAAUUUCGUCAUGUCGGCCCAAACUUGUUCGUUGUUCAGGCCGCGUGCCUCGGCGACUGGGAA
RNAcentral lists this ribosomal RNA (243 nucleotides) under Triticum aestivum (bread wheat). RNAcentral describes it as "partial small subunit ribosomal RNA". Lineage: Eukaryota; Viridiplantae; Streptophyta; Magnoliopsida; Poales; Poaceae. The record is from RNAcentral.